GUGCUUGCUUCGGCACCACAUAUACUAAAAUUGGAACGAUACAGAGAAGAUUAGCUUGGUCCCUGCGCAAGGAUGACAUGCAAAUUCGUGAAGCAUUCCAUAUUUUU
Small nuclear RNA from Otolemur garnettii (small-eared galago), 107 nucleotides. NCBI's taxonomy places the organism in Eukaryota, Metazoa, Chordata, Mammalia, Primates, Galagidae. The record is from Ensembl.